Molecule: ribosomal RNA, 451 nt
Filed under: uncultured bacterium
Lineage: Bacteria
Description: bacterial SSU rRNA
Rfam family: Bacterial small subunit ribosomal RNA
Source: RNAcentral
GUGGGGAAUAUUGGACAAUGGGGGGAACCCUGAUCCAGCCAUGCCGCGUGUGUGAAGAAGGCCUUUUGGUUGUAAAGCACUUUAAGCGAGGAGGAGGCUACCGAGAUUAAUACUCUUGGAUAGUGGACGUUACUCGCAGAAUAAGCACCGGCUAACUCUGUGCCAGCAGCCGCGGUAAUACAGAGGGUGCAAGCGUUAAUCGGAUUUACUGGGCGUAAAGCGCGCGUAGGUGGCCAAUUAAGUCAAAUGUGGAAUCCCCGAGCUUAACUUGGGAAUUGCAUUCGAUACUGGUUGGCUAGAGUAUGGGAGAGGAUGGUAGAAUUCCAGGUGUAGCGGUGAAAUGCGUAGAGAUCUGGAGGAAUACCGAUGGCGAAGGCAGCCAUCUGGCCUAAUACUGACACUGAGGUGCGAAAGCAUGGGGAGCAAACAGGAUUAGAUACCCCUGUAGUCC